UCAACCAAACAAGUUGUAUUUCAUUUACCUGAAGGGCCUAAACUUACAUUCAAGGGGAACAGUGUUAUACCUCCUUCAUAUUUAAUUUCCUCUACGAAAGCAAAUAAGCUGAUUAAUAAAGGGUGCAAGGAAUUUCUAUGUUCGGUACUCAUAGGGUCAACUACUACUAAACCCGGUGUUGGUAAUAUUCCUGUGGUGAAGGAAUUUCUAGAUGUGUUUCCAGAUGAUUUGCCUGGGAAUUUAAUUGAUAGAGAGAUUGAGUUUACUAUUGAGUUAGCCCCAGGUACCCAACCAAUUUCUAAGACCCCAUAUCGGAUGUUAACUACUGAGUUAAAAGAGUUGAAAACUCAAUUACAAGAAUUGUUUAAUAAGAAAUUUAUCAGGCCUAGUACUUCUCCGUGGUGUGCUCCGGUACUAUUUGUCAAAAAGAAGGAUGGAACUUUAAGACUCUGUAUUGAUUACCGGGAAUUGAAUAAGGUGACAAUAAAAAACAAAUACCCGUUGCCACGUAUUGACGAUUUGUUUGACCAGCUGUAAGGGACACAAGUAUUUUCUAAAAUUGAUCUGCGGUCUAGAUAUCACCAACUAAAAGUUAAAGCCGAGGAUGUAGAGAAGACUGCUUUUCGAACCAGAUGGUCACUAUGAGUUCCUCGUUAUGCCUUUCAGAGUUACUAAUGCACCAGCUGCUUUUUAUGGAUUUAAUGAACAGAGUUUUUAAGCCAUUUCUUGAUGAAUUCAUUGUAGUCUUUAUCAAUGACAUUUUGGUCUAUUCUAAGAGCAAGAAAGAAUAUGAACAUCACUUGAGACUUACUCUUCAAAUGCCGAGGGAGAGGAAAUUAUAUGCUAAGCUGUCGAAAUGUGAAUUUUGGUUAAAUAGUGUGUCAUUUUUGGGGCAUGUGAUAAUGAAAGAGGGUAUUUCUGUUGAUCCACAAAAAUUGGUCGAGGCCAACGAAUGUAACAGAGGUUCACAGUUUCUUGGGCAUCGCUGGAUACUAUUGCAGAUUUGUGAAGGACUUCUCCAAGAUUGCUAUGCCACUCACUCAGUUGACAUAAUAAGGGGUACCAUUUGAGUGGACUGACCAACGAGAAGCAGCCUUUCAGGAGUUAAAGAUGAGACUCGUGACAGCACCAAUUCUUACUUUACCCUCUGGCACAGAUGGUUUUACCGUCUAUAGUGAUGCUUCCUAUAAAGGUUUGGGGUGCGUGUUGAUGCAAAAUGGAAGAGUAAUUGCCCAUGCGUCCCGUCAGCUAAGACCACAUGAAAAAAGUUACCCGACUCACGAUCUGGAGUUAGCUGCAGUGAUUUUUGCGUUAAAGAUUUGGCAUCACUAUUUAUAUGGGGUUAUAUGCGAGGUGUAUACGGACCACAAGAGUUUAAAAUAUUUCUUUACUCAGAAGAGGCUAAACAUGAGGCAGCGAAGAUGGCUCGAGUUAAUUAAGGAUUAUGAUUUACAAAUCAUGUAUCAUCCUGGGAAAGCUAAUACAGUGGCCGAUGCCCUUAGUCGAAAAGUCGUGGAAAACUUGGCCUGUUUACUCACCAGACAGGAAACAAUAGUAUGUGAGCCAAUGCUAGUUGAGGAGAUCAAAAAUAAACAGUUGCAAGACGAGUUCUUCAAGAAAAUAGUAGAUGCAUGGGAUUCCAAACCUAGAUUGGCAUUCAGUUUAGAGGAUGGCGUACUCAAAUUCCAAGGACGGUUAUGUGUUCCUAAUGACAAUGAGGUAAAGAAACAAACUCUUCAAGAAGCCCGCAAUUCCAAAUUCUCUAUUUAUCUAGGAAAUGCGAAAAUGUAUCAGGACCUAAAGAAAAAUUUCUGGUUGGCGGGGAUAAAAAGGGAAAUUGCAGAAUUCUUAUCAAAAUGUUUGCAAUGUCAACAAGUUAAAACAGAACAUCAACGACCUGCAUGAUUACUUCAACCAUUGCCUGUACCGGAGUGGAAAUGGGAACAUAUUACAAUGGAUUUCGUGGUUGGUUUGCCUUGCUCCAACAAAGAUAUGGAUUCUAUCUAGGUAAUUGUGGAUCGAUUAACCAAAUUCGCUCAUUUUUUACCUGUUAAGGCCACAUAUGCUGUGGAUAAGUUGGCUAUCUUGUAUGUGAAUGAAAUUGUGAGAUUGCAUGGAGUUCCUGUAUCUAUCGUAUCAGACAGAGAUCCGAAGUUUACUUCAAGGUUUUGGCAAAGUUUCCAAAAGGCACUAAGGACAGAGUUGAGAUUGAGCAGUGCAUACCAUCCCCAAACAGAUGGCCAACCAGAGAGGACAAUUCAGACACUUGAGGAUAUGUUACGUAUGUGUGUAUUGGAUUUCCAAGGAAAUGGGGAAACACAACUUUCAUUCUAGCAUUGACAUGGCACCCUACAAGGCCUUAUACGACCGAAAAUGUCUGUCACUAAUCUGUUGGGUGGAAGUUGGAGAGAGACCAUUAUUAGGACCUAACCUUGUGCAACAAACCACUGAAAAAGUGAAGAAAAUUCAGCAACGGCUGAAAACUGCUCAAAGUCGACAGAAAAGCUAUGCUGAUAUACGUAGACGAGAAAGAGAAUACGAAGUAGGCAACCAUGUCUUUAUUAAAGUUACGCCAAUGAAGGGAUAUGCUCGUUUCGGGAUUAAGGGUAAGCUAGCGCCUCGUUACAUCGAACAGUACGAAAUUAUUGAAAAACUGAGUCCAGUGGCGUACCGAAUAGCUCUACCUACAGAUAUGACACACAUGCAUAAUAUCUUUCAUAUCUCCAUGCUAAGGGAGUCUCUUUUGGACCCUCAAGAAGUUGUUGAGCCUACCCAUAUAUCUAUAAGUGAUAAUUAUAUGUAUGCAGAACGACCUCUUCGGAUUGUUAGUCGUCGAAUCAAAAAGUUGAGAAAUAAAGAAAUUCCAUUGGUAAAGGUGGCUUGGAAAAACCAUAAUGGCCUGUAUGCAACUUGGGAACGAGAAGUUGAGAUGCACGAGACAUAUCCUGAACUCUUUCCAUUAGAUCCUACACUCUUCACUGAAUAAGGUACUUGAAUUUGGAAGACCAAAUACCCUAAGGGGGAGAGACUGUAACACCUGUCUUCCUCCUUAACUGUUGUUUUUAUGAUUACUUUUAUGCUUAAUUUGGAUCAUGCAUUUAUUCGAGCUUUAUAUGUCUAUUAUAAGCAUUGUGUCUGUUAACAGAUAUGUUCUUUGUGAAAAGAUCUGUCCGAUUCGUUAACUUGUAAUGCUCUGUUAUUAAUUAAAUGAGGAUGUAGGUGGUAGAGCCUAGUUUAUUCUAACUAGCUGAAGAGGGAGUUAAUUAGUUUAAGUUGUGAUAAGAGAUAAUUUAAUGGAAGUGGAUAUAAGUGGAAAUUAUUUAAAACCAAGUAACCUAGCAUUAUAUCUAUAUAUAUAAAUGUUUGAUUGGCCUCAAGUGAGGAAAAGGAAAUAUCAUCUGAGAAGGGAGAGAGAGAGAGUUCUAGAGAAGUGAACAAGAAGAGAAGGGAAGAAGAAAGAGUGCAAGUGUGUGAUCACUCCAUCAACUUGACUCUUUAGGGUAAGAAUUCCCUCACUCCUUUCUUAUAUUUAGGUAGUUUUCACUCUAAACUCUUGAAAUUGAAAUGGAGAGUAAGGGUUUGGGUAGUAUAGGAGGUACUACAAACCUGUUUUGGCUUGAAUUACUUGGCUUUGUAUGUUUCUAACUAAAUUCUCUUAGUUUGGUGGAAGAAAUGGAAGUUCAAUAUGUAUGGAUGUUAUUUUCUUUUGGCCUUGAAAUUGUUUAAGAGCUUGUAGAAUUUGAGUUUGAAUCUUUGGUUUCAUUCUUAAAUUGAGUAUAGAAAUUAAUUGUACACCAUGUUUAUGAAUUUGUGAUCUUUGAUUUAAUGGAUUUUGGGUUUGAUUUUGAGGAAGUUGGAACCCCAAAAUAGAGCAAAAAUUCAGUUCUGGAACACCUAGAACCGCACGUGCGGCUAGAGAGCCCACAUGUACGGGAGAGCAUCGACACACGUGUGGUGAGUCGGCCCGCACGUGCGGAUUUCAGGGGAAACUUGGGGGUUGCAUUCUGUUUAAAAAGCACGUAGGAGCGCACGUGCAGAGAGAGUCUCGUACGUGCAGCCAGGGGACUCCGCACGUACGGCUGUUUGGCUGCCCCAGAUUCAUUUUUCUGGGUUGUUUACUCCACUCUCGAGCCUCCGUUAGCAUGUUUUACACCCAUAAUUACGGUCCAUGCGCAUUGCAUGAGCUUUUAGCAGAAGUUAAUGUUUAGGCGAAAUAAUUCCUAAACAAAGAAACCAAUAAGUUAAAUAUAUGUCACUUAAGCAUUUUACAUUUAUAUUUGUCUGUGUAGGUCAAACGCCAAGUGCCAGUCACUCGCAUCUCGGUAUACACUGUGAGUAAUGCUUCUACGAAUAUGUAUAAUUUAAUUUAUCUUUCUCUGCUUCAACUUAUACGUUAUUCGGAUAUAUCUCUCAUAUGACUGAAUGAUGAUUCUAUUCCAGUUGUCACUAGCUACUAUGAUCAUUUUGGGCACCUCUUCAUAUAAGUACAGUUUUAUCAGUUCCAUUCCUUGGAACUCCUGCUUGACAUGAUAAUGGCUAUCGUAUCGGUUUAUCAGUCUUUAUGACCGUCUGUUUGGUCUUCUUGACCGUCUGUCCGGUACCCGUGACUAGACCGCCUGUAUUUACGGCUUGUGAGUGUAUUACGCGAAUAUCUUACACAAAAGGUUAUGUUUUUCAAGGUAACCCAGCUCAAGAAAAGAUGUAGUGGCGUCAGUCUUACUCCGGUUUUGUUGAGCUAUCCGUUGUGCCUCACUGCAAGGUUCCCACUUACUCAAGUUUUGAUGUGACUAAUGUCCUCCCUUCUGUGAAGUGCCCAUGUGUUGGUCAGGACUUGUGACUAUGGGAGUGUCUUUUCUUCCUUUUGGCUGUCUUUUAAACAAACUUGUUGUACUUUCUCGUGGGUAUAUAUGGUUAUAUGCACAACAAUGCCUUUUGCCUCAUGUAAAUGCACGACUCAAUGGACGUUCUAUUUCUUAUAUUAAAGCUUUCGCUAGCCCCAUUUUUUUACUUUGCUCAGUUAGGCCUUCGGUAAUCGAGGAUUACUGGCUGGUUACGGUCCCAAACCUAUAGGGACGGGUUUGGGUCGUGACAGAGUGGUAUCAGAGCACGAGUUGUACCGCACACACGCGUCCAAAUGAGCUAUAGGAUGUCCUAAAGAAGAGAUUAGGGCAUAUUAUCUUCAUGUAUGGUGUAUUUAGUAAGUUUUAUGGUGAUAAUACAUGUAUAAACUCUAUAUGUCCUAUGUUUAUUGUCUUUUUGUUUAUGUAUUUAAGUCGAUGGAGAACACAAGACCUGUAGAGACAUCCGAGUCUUCUGAAGCAAGGAUGGAUCGAUUAAAGCGAAUGGUGGAGUUGUUGACAGAAGCACUAAGACAACAACAGAGACAGCCCUUCCCACCUCCACCUCCACCUCCACCUCCGCCACCAGUUCUAGUAGAGUCGCCCAACAAUGGUGACAUUAUUGCUCUAAUACAGAAAUUCAACAAGUUGAAACCGCCCACGUUUCUGGGAGGCUUGGAACCGUUGAAAGCUGAAGCCUCGAUUUUGGAGAUUGAAAAGUUGUUUGAAGUAUUUCUAUGCACCGAAGAAUAAAAAGUUUUGUUAGCAACUUUUACCCUGCAAGAGGAAGCGAGAAGAUGGUGGAUGCUCUUUCAGAAUCAACAGACUGCUAUGGCUUGGGCACAGUUUAAAGAAGUUUUCUAUGAAAAGUAUUUUCCACAGUGUGUAAGAGACUGUAAGGUGUCGGAAUUCGAGCAGCUCAAGUAGGGUACUAUGACAGUAGCGGAAUAUGAGGCCAAAUUUACAGAGCUUGCGCGCUAUGCGCCGCAUAUGGGACAUCGAUUACAAAAAAGUUAGAAAAUUUGAAGGUGGUUUGGCUGUUGAGGUUCUUGAUCGAGUUAAUGUACUAAAAUUGGAAAAAUACGUUGACGUUUUGAAAAGGUCUAUCAUAGUUGAAGCAAACGUUGCUGCUCUAACACAAGCGAAGGUGCCGGUGAGUGAAUGGAAGGGAAAAAAGGUCGGGAUUUAAUUCUAAGAAGGGUCGAAGCAACUUCAAUUCUCCACCAAACAAGAAACAGAACACAUGAUCAUUCACUAACUCAAGUCAGGGGAAUGACACACCCAUCUGCUCGGAGUGUGGAAAAAUACAUAAGGGAGUUUGCCGUAGAAUUUCUGGUUCAUGCUUUCGGUGUGGAAAAACAGGCCAUAUGAUUAAAGAUUGUCCUUUGGUUUCUCAAGGCACAAGCCAGUCAAGGACUAAUUCAACUACAUCAGUGUCAGCACCACAGGGAAAUUCGAAGGCAGCUACAAGGAAAAAAACUCUAAAACAAGGACUGGUUUUUGCAUUGGUGCCGGGCGACGUGCAGACUACAGAGAUGGUUAUGUCAGGUUUGAUUUUGAGGAAGUUGGAACCCCAAAAUAGAGCAGAAAUUCGGUUCUGGAACACCUAGAACUGCACGUGCGGCGAGGGAGCCCGUACGUGCGGAAGAGCAUCGACGCAAGUGCGGCGGGUAGGCCCGCACGUGCAGAUUUCAGGGGAAACUUAGGUUGCAUUCUGUUUAAAAAGCACGUAGGAGCGCACGUGCAGAGAGAGUCUCGUACGUGCAGCCAGGGGACUCCGCACGUACGGCUGUUUGGCUGCCCCAGAUUCAUUUUUCUGGGUUGUUUACUCCACUCUCGAGCCUCCGUUAGCAUGUUUUACACCUGUAAUUACAAUCCAUGCGCAUUACAUGAGCUUUUAGCAGAAGUUAAUGUUUAGGCAAAAUAAUUCCUAAACAAAGAAACCAAUAAGUUAAAUAUAUGUCACUUAAGCAUUCUACAUUUAUAUUUGUCUGUGUAGGUCAAACGCCAAGUGCCAGUCACCCGCAUCUUAGUAUACACUGUGAGUAACACUAUUAUGAAUAUGUAUAAUUUAAUUUAUCUUUCUCUGCUUCAACUUAUACGUUAUUCGAAUAUAUCUCUCAUAUGACUGAAUGAUGAUUUUAUUCCAGUUGUCACUAGCUACUAUGAUAAUUUUGGGCUUCUCUUCAUAUAAGUACAGUUUUAUCAGUUCCAUGCCUUGGAAUUCCUGCUUAACAUGAUAAUGGCUAUCGUAUCGGUUUAUCGAUCUUUAUGACCGUCUGUUCAGUCUUCUUGACCGCUUGUCCGGUCUCCGUGACCGUCUGUUUGGUCUUUUAGACCGCCUGUAUUUACUGCUUGUGAGUGUACUACGCGAAUAUCUUACACAAAAGGUUAUGUUUUUCAAGGUUCGUAUGAACAUACUUAGCUUGUAUUCAUUUUGUAUUAUAAUCAUCAUUUAUAUUCUCUUCAUUCUGUUAUUAUUCACUGGGCCCUAGCUCACAUUUUGAUAUAUCAUGUAGGUAACCCAGCUCAAGAAAAGAUGUAGUGGCGUCAGUCUUACUCCAGUUUUGUCGAGCUAUCCGUUGUGCCUCACCGCGAGGUUCCCACCUACUCAAGUUUUGACGUGACUAAUGUCGUCCCUUCUGUGGAGCGCCCGUGUGUUGGUCAGGACUUGUGACUAUGAGAGUGUCUUUUCUUCCUUUUGGCUGUCUUUUAAACAAACUUGUUGUACUUUCUCGUGGGUAUAUAUGGUUAUAUGCACAACAAUGCCUUUUGCCUCAUGUAAAUGUACGGCUCAAUGGGCGUUCUGUUUCUUA
This is a non-coding RNA of Camellia sinensis, 7654 nucleotides long. The record is from RefSeq and is a predicted model, not a curated record. NCBI's taxonomy places the organism in Eukaryota, Viridiplantae, Streptophyta, Magnoliopsida, Ericales, Theaceae.